RNAcentral lists this non-coding RNA (24 nucleotides) under Arabidopsis thaliana (thale cress). The record is from RNAcentral. Lineage: Eukaryota; Viridiplantae; Streptophyta; Magnoliopsida; Brassicales; Brassicaceae.
GGUGUCGGUGCUGCCGAAUAUCAC